This 464-nucleotide ribosomal RNA is filed under the name Staphylococcus aureus. RNAcentral describes it as "partial 23S ribosomal RNA". It matches the Rfam family "Bacterial large subunit ribosomal RNA", at positions 444 to 911 of the family's 2925-position model. Lineage: Bacteria; Bacillati; Bacillota; Bacilli; Caryophanales; Staphylococcaceae. The record is from RNAcentral.
CUGGGAGGACCAUCUCCUAAGGCUAAAUACUCUCUAGUGACCGAUAGUGAACCAGUACCGUGAGGGAAAGGUGAAAAGCACCCCGGAAGGGGAGUGAAAUAGAACCUGAAACCGUGUGCUUACAAGUAGUCAGAGCCCGUUAAUGGGUGAUGGCGUGCCUUUUGUAGAAUGAACCGGCGAGUUACGAUUUGAUGCAAGGUUAAGCAGUAAAUGUGGAGCCGUAGCGAAAGCGAGUCUGAAUAGGGCGUUUAGUAUUUGGUCGUAGACCCGAAACCAGGUGAUCUACCCUUGGUCAGGUUGAAGUUCAGGUAACACUGAAUGGAGGACCGAACCGACUUACGUUGAAAAGUGAGCGGAUGAACUGAGGGUAGCGGAGAAAUUCCAAUCGAACCUGGAGAUAGCUGGUUCUCUCCGAAAUAGCUUUAGGGCUAGCCUCAAGUGAUGAUUAUUGGAGGUAGAGCACU